AAAGAAAGAAAAGAAAGAAAGAAGGAAAAGAAAGAAAUGAAGUUGUGAAUGAAUAUGAGGCGGUGGGUUGAGGCUUAUUGUUUGCGGGGGAAGGUAAGUUUCUCUUGUCUCAUCUCUCCUGCUUAUUCCAAUCUGGCGUAAGGUU
RNAcentral lists this non-coding RNA (145 nucleotides) under Paramoeba aestuarina. Lineage: Eukaryota; Discosea; Flabellinia; Dactylopodida; Paramoebidae. The record is from RNAcentral.